RNAcentral lists this ribosomal RNA (454 nucleotides) under uncultured Porphyromonadaceae bacterium. Its description in RNAcentral is "partial 16S ribosomal RNA". It matches the Rfam family "Bacterial small subunit ribosomal RNA", at positions 341 to 792 of the family's 1533-position model. The record is from RNAcentral. Lineage: Bacteria; Pseudomonadati; Bacteroidota; Bacteroidia; Bacteroidales; Porphyromonadaceae.
ACGGAAGGCAGCAGUGAGGAAUAUUGGUCAAUGGUCGGAAGACUGAACCAGCCAAGUCGCGUGCAGGAAGACGGUCCUAUGGAUUGUAAACUGCUUUUGUACGGGAAUAAAGUGGGGGACGUGUCCCCUUUGGAAUGUACCGUAAGAAUAAGGGUCGGCUAACUCCGUGCCAGCAGCCGCGGUAAUACGGAGGACCCGAGCGUUAUCCGGAUUUAUUGGGUUUAAAGGGUGCGCAGGCGGAGGAUUAAGUCUGCGGUGAAAUGUUCAUGCUCAACAUGAAAACUGCCAUUGAUACUGGUGCCCUUGAGAGAUGUCGAGGAUGGAGGAAUGUGAUGUGUAGCGGUGAAAUGCUUAGAUAUGUCACAGAACACCGAUUGCGAAGGCAGCUGUCCAGAGAUCUUCCGACGCUCAGGCACGAAAGCAUGGGUAUCAAACAGGAUUAGAUACCCUGGUA